GGCACAUCAUAUCCAUAACACCUGUGCACUUGUCGGAUGGCUUAGUGAAGACCGCAAGGUUGAAUCUAUCCAUCUACUUUACAUAACAAUUCUGUAACAAAUGUAGUCUUAUUAUAACAUAAUAAAACUUUCAACAACGGAUCUCUUGGCUCUCGCAUCGAUGAAGAACGCAGCGAAAUGCGAUAAGUAAUGUGAAUUGCAGAAUUCAGUGAAUCAUCGAAUCUUUGAACGCACCUUGCGCUCCUUGGUAUUCCGAGGAGCAUGCCUGUUUGAGUGUCAUGAAAACCCUCAACCCUAGAUUGGUUAAAACCUUUCUUUGGUUUGGAUUUGGACGUUUGCCGAUGAUAAGUCGGCUCGUCUUAAAAGUAAUAGCUGGAUCUGUCUCGCGACAUGAUUUGACUUGGCGUAAUAAGUAUUUCGCUAAGGACAUCUUCGGAUGGCCGCGUUGCAGGACUAAAGACCGCUUUCUAAUCCAUUGAUCUUCGGAUUAAUACUCUUGACAUCUGGCCUCAAAUCAGGUAGGACUACUCGCUGAACUUAAGCAUAUCAAUAAGCGGAGG
RNAcentral lists this ribosomal RNA (560 nucleotides) under Naganishia albida. RNAcentral's name for it is "eukaryotic LSU rRNA". The stretch from base 126 to 279 matches the Rfam family "5.8S ribosomal RNA". Lineage: Eukaryota; Fungi; Basidiomycota; Tremellomycetes; Filobasidiales; Filobasidiaceae. The record is from RNAcentral.